This 351-nucleotide RNase P RNA is filed under the name Magnetococcales bacterium. Its description in RNAcentral is "RNase P RNA component class A". It matches the Rfam family "Bacterial RNase P class A". From Rfam's summary of the family: Ribonuclease P (RNase P) is a ubiquitous endoribonuclease, found in archaea, bacteria and eukarya as well as chloroplasts and mitochondria. Its best characterised activity is the generation of mature 5'-ends of tRNAs by cleaving the 5'-leader elements of precursor-tRNAs. The record is from RNAcentral. Lineage: Bacteria; Pseudomonadati; Pseudomonadota; Magnetococcia; Magnetococcales.
CAGUUUGCCUAGGUUAUCGCACGCCCAGCGUGAGGAAAGUCCGGGCACCACAAAGGAGGAUGCCGGAUAACGUCCGGCGGGGAGCAUGAGCUCCUUAGGGAAAGUGGCGCAGAAAAUAUACCGCCUGUAUUUAGAUAUAGGUAAGGGUGAAAUGGUGGAGUAAGAGCCCACCGCCUCGCUGGCAACAGCCGAGGGCAGGCUAAACCCCAUCCGGUGCAAGACCAAAUAGGAACCCCGCUUAACCGUACCUUGCGGAAGGGGUUCGGGUAGGUCGCUAGAGGUAGCGAGUAAUCGCCACCCCAGAUGAAUGAUAAUCCACGACAAAACCCGGCUUAUCGGGCAAACUGCAUA